RNAcentral lists this ribosomal RNA (1552 nucleotides) under Pectobacterium parmentieri. RNAcentral's name for it is "bacterial SSU rRNA". It matches the Rfam family "Bacterial small subunit ribosomal RNA". The record is from RNAcentral. Lineage: Bacteria; Pseudomonadati; Pseudomonadota; Gammaproteobacteria; Enterobacterales; Pectobacteriaceae.
AAAUUGAAGAGUUUGAUCAUGGCUCAGAUUGAACGCUGGCGGCAGGCCUAACACAUGCAAGUCGAGCGGUAGCACAGAAGAGCUUGCUCUUCGGGUGACGAGCGGCGGACGGGUGAGUAAUGUCUGGGAAACUGCCUGAUGGAGGGGGAUAACUACUGGAAACGGUAGCUAAUACCGCAUAACGUCUUCGGACCAAAGAGGGGGACCUUCGGGCCUCUUGCCAUCGGAUGUGCCCAGAUGGGAUUAGCUAGUAGGUGAGGUAAUGGCUCACCUAGGCGACGAUCCCUAGCUGGUCUGAGAGGAUGACCAGCCACACUGGAACUGAGACACGGUCCAGACUCCUACGGGAGGCAGCAGUGGGGAAUAUUGCACAAUGGGCGCAAGCCUGAUGCAGCCAUGCCGCGUGUGUGAAGAAGGCCUUCGGGUUGUAAAGCACUUUCAGCGGGGAGGAAGGCGAUAAGGUUAAUAACCUUGUCGAUUGACGUUACCCGCAGAAGAAGCACCGGCUAACUCCGUGCCAGCAGCCGCGGUAAUACGGAGGGUGCAAGCGUUAAUCGGAAUGACUGGGCGUAAAGCGCACGCAGGCGGUCUGUUAAGUUGGAUGUGAAAUCCCCGGGCUUAACCUGGGAACUGCAUUCAAAACUGACAGGCUAGAGUCUUGUAGAGGGGGGUAGAAUUCCAGGUGUAGCGGUGAAAUGCGUAGAGAUCUGGAGGAAUACCGGUGGCGAAGGCGGCCCCCUGGACAAAGACUGACGCUCAGGUGCGAAAGCGUGGGGAGCAAACAGGAUUAGAUACCCUGGUAGUCCACGCUGUAACCGCUGUCGACUUGGAGGUUGUGCCCGUGAGGCGUGGCCUGCGGAGCUAACGCGUUAAGUCGCGCGGCUGGGGAGUACGGCCGCAAGGUUAAAACUCAAAUGAAUUGACGGGGGCCCGCACAAGCGGUGGAGCAUGUGGUUUAAUUCGAUGCAACGCGAAGAACCUUACCUACUCUUGACAUCCACAGAAUUUGGUAGAGAUACCUUAGUGCCUUCGGGAACUGUGAGACAGGUGCUGCAUGGCUGUCGUCAGCUCGUGUUGUGAAAUGUUGGGUUAAGUCCCGCAACGAGCGCAACCCUUAUCCUUUGUUGCCAGCGAGUAAUGUCGGGAACUCAAAGGAGACUGCCGGUGAUAAACCGGAGGAAGGUGGGGAUGACGUCAAGUCAUCAUGGCCCUUACGAGUAGGGCUACACACGUGCUACAAUGGCGUAUACAAAGAGAAGCGAACUCGCGAGAGCAAGCGGACCUCAUAAAGUACGUCGUAGUCCGGAUUGGAGUCUGCAACUCGACUCCAUGAAGUCGGAAUCGCUAGUAAUCGUAGAUCAGAAUGCUACGGUGAAUACGUUCCCGGGCCUUGUACACACCGCCCGUCACACCAUGGGAGUGGGUUGCAAAAGAAGUAGGUAGCUUAACCUUCGGGAGGGCGCUUACCACUUUGUGAUUCAUGACUGGGGUGAAGUCGUAACAAGGUAACCGUAGGGGAACCUGCGGUUGGAUCACCUCCUUACCAAAAAGA